AAAGACCAACAAAACAUAAUUGAGGAUGUAAUUGGUGAAGCGGAGUAGGCACUAUAACAAAAGAGUUGAAUUCGAGUUUUUUAUAAGUAUGAUUUAAUAUCAUAACACCAAUCAUGUAUACAUAUCAAAAUUUAUUAAAAUAUAUGAUAAAAUAAAAACCAAUACAUUUAUUCUUUUACAAACAUUUUAGAAAGAUAUAAUUAAU
This 205-nucleotide long non-coding RNA is filed under the name Lathyrus oleraceus (garden pea). RNAcentral describes it as "Pisum sativum (pea) long non-coding RNA (PSAT_LNC022106)". The record is from RNAcentral. Lineage: Eukaryota; Viridiplantae; Streptophyta; Magnoliopsida; Fabales; Fabaceae.